UUCUCAUUAGUAUAGUGGUGAGUAUUCCCACCUGUCACGUGGGAGACCAGGGUUCGAUUCCCUGAUAAAAUU
RNAcentral lists this transfer RNA (72 nucleotides) under Gallus gallus (chicken). It matches the Rfam family "tRNA". Rfam says of the family: Transfer RNA (tRNA) molecules are approximately 80 nucleotides in length. The record is from Rfam by way of RNAcentral. Lineage: Eukaryota; Metazoa; Chordata; Aves; Galliformes; Phasianidae.